RNAcentral lists this ribosomal RNA (692 nucleotides) under uncultured bacterium. RNAcentral describes it as "bacterial SSU rRNA". It matches the Rfam family "Bacterial small subunit ribosomal RNA", at positions 100 to 828 of the family's 1533-position model. The record is from RNAcentral.
GACGGGUUAGUAACGCGUGGGAACGUACCCAGAUCUAAGGAAUAGCCACUGGAAACGGUGAGUAAUACCUUAUACGCCCUUCGGGGGAAAGAUUUAUCGGAUUUGGAUCGGCCCGCGUUAGAUUAGAUAGUUGGUGGGGUAACGGCCUACCAAGUCUACGAUCUAUAGCUGGUUUUAGAGGAUGAUCAGCAACACUGGGACUGAGACACGGCCCAGACUCCUACGGGAGGCAGCAGUGGGGAAUCUUGGACAAUGGGCGCAAGCCUGAUCCAGCCAUGCCGCGUGAGUGAUGAAGGCCUUAGGGUCGUAAAGCUCUUUCGCCAGGGAUGAUAAUGACAGUACCUGGUAAAGAAACCCCGGCUAACUCCGUGCCAGCAGCCGCGGUAAUACGGAGGGGGUUAGCGUUGUUCGGAAUUACUGGGCGUAAAGCGCGCGUAGGCGGGUUGUUAAGUUAGAGGUGAAAUCCCGGGGCUCAACCCCGGAACUGCCUUUAAUACUGGCAACCUAGAGUUCGAGAGAGGUGAGUGGAAUUCCGAGUGUAGAGGUGAAAUUCGUAGAUAUUCGGAGGAACACCAGUGGCGAAGGCGGCUCACUGGCUCGAUACUGACGCUGAGGUGCGAAAGUGUGGGGAGCAAACAGGAUUAGAUACCCUGGUAGUCCACACCGUAAACGAUGAAUGCCAGUCGUCGGGU